Molecule: ribosomal RNA, 465 nt
Filed under: Vreelandella stevensii
Lineage: Bacteria; Pseudomonadati; Pseudomonadota; Gammaproteobacteria; Oceanospirillales; Halomonadaceae
Description: partial 16S ribosomal RNA
Rfam family: Bacterial small subunit ribosomal RNA
Source: RNAcentral
CCUACGGGGAGCUGCAGUGGGGAAUAUUGGACAAUGGGCGAAAGCCUGAUCCAGCCAUGCCGCGUGUGUGAGGAAGGCCUUCGGGUUGUAAAGCACUUUCAGUGGGGAAGAAAGCCUUGGGGCUAAUACCCUCGAGGAAGGACAUCACCCACAGAAGAAGCACCGGCUAACUCCGUGCCAGCAGCCGCGGUAAUACGGAGGGUGCGAGCGUUAAUCGGAAUUACUGGGCGUAAAGCGCGCGUAGGCGGUCUGAUAAGCCGGUUGUGAAAGCCCCGGGCUCAACCUGGGAACGGCAUCCGGAACUGUCAGGCUAGAGUGCAGGAGAGGAAGGUAGAAUUCCCGGUGUAGCGGUGAAAUGCGUAGAGAUCGGGAGGAAUACCAGUGGCGAAGGCGGCCUUCUGGACUGACACUGACGCUGAGGUGCGAAAGCGUGGGUAGCAAACAGGAUUAGAUACCCCAGUAGUC